GGCGCAGCUGGCGCCUGUGGCCUCAGCAGGUCCAGGCUGGCUCGGUCUUAAAGGGGCCGCACCCCUUUGUGGGCCAUGCUGGGCAGGGUGGGGUCUCCAGGGGGGUGGGCUGCAGGGGAAGUUGUGCUGGGCCAAGUGGCAUCACCUGCCAUGGGCUGCUGAGGCUGGGAUGCCGCCACGGCCUGGAGCCCUACAAUAUGGCAUGCAACGUGCUACAGUGUGUCGCGCACAUGGCUUCAUGCCAUGGUGCCACCGCCACAUCCUGCCACGCUUUGCACCCCAGACUGUGGGGUGGCCCAUAUUAUGAGCCCCCUACUUGACACCUUAGAAGCCCUGUCUUAUGCCUUCGUGCACCGUGGAGGCCUGCCGGAGCAUCCCCAGCACCAAGUGUUUGCUGUCACAGCUGGGUACAGGUUGCCGUUGUCUUUGGGAGCGGCCUGCGCAAUGAUUCAACUUUCACACGGCCACCAGAGCCAUUUCCCAAGCUGCCGAUGGUGAUAGCACAGCGCUGACGUUUCUUUUGGAGACGCCCAGAGGCACCUCCCUUCCAUCUGGAGAUCAGCACCACGUUGUUCUAGAAACUGAACAAACACAGAAUGAGAAACAUUGCGGCUCCUGAAGAGCCAUUUCAUUUUUACUAUCUGCUAGGAUUGUCCAGAGAAACUGGACUAGUCAUUUUUUAUCUCACUUAUAGUGCCUAAUUUCUGUCAAUCGUGAAUAGUAAUAUGAAUAAGAAAUUUCUAGUGGAACAUUACAAUACCUGGUUUGCAAAGACAGCUGAAGUCUGUUUUCUUGCUUUCAGUGGAUGUUUCCAUACUUUAUAGAAAUAGUUCUGUUUGUCAAAAGUUUGUUUCUAAGGCCCAAAUCUUGCCAAAAUAGGCAUACAUGUUUAAUAUUAUGCACAUGUAAGGUUCUGCUUGGAAUUAUAUCAUAAUCCCAGUGAUUUUAAAUUAAAUGUAAGUAUGCAUAUGAAUUUUUGCAGCAUCAGGUUUAAAUAUUUUUAACAGUUUUCAUCACUCUGGUGCAUUUCAACUGUUAAAGCUGCCAAUCCAUUAAAAGGAUACACAUCAAUCAAAAAAAAAAUUCAAAUCUGCAUGUUCUUGGGGAUACAAGCUGUCGCCUUUUUAUCUGGAAAAAUGCCAAACAUUGUUGAGAGGCAAGGAUUUUUUGGCAAUAUAUUUUAUUGGACCAACUGUAUAGCUGGGAGAGAUGUUAGACAAAAUUUAGCAUCCACAAAUAAUGAAUACGAACCACAUCAUUCACGUUCUCCAACAUGUAAAUAAUCUAAGUAUUAAUUAAAAGUCUGACUUAACAGAAGUCUUAAUUCCCUUUCCUAAUUUGACAUGCACAGUUAACAUAUAUUGUUAGAUAGGACUAUCUGUUAUGCCAAAGAUGUCUGUUUUUCAGUGGUGAGUGAAAUGAACUCUGCAUAAAUUGUAUCCUUCACUUCCUGUCCUAAAAUAUUCUAUAUUGGCACUAUGUUUCCAGAGGUGGAUGAAUUCCAAUGACAUUGAAGUGAUUCCUGUCUCUGGUAGUAAUUGUUAAUGAAUUAUUAAUAA
This is a long non-coding RNA of Gavialis gangeticus (Gharial), 1559 nucleotides long. RefSeq lists it as uncharacterized. Lineage: Eukaryota; Metazoa; Chordata; Crocodylia; Gavialidae. The transcript has 2 exons. The record is from RefSeq and is a predicted model, not a curated record.